UGGGGAAUUUUGGACAAUGGGGGCAACCCUGAUCCAGCAAUACCGCGUGUGUGAAGAAGGCCUUCGGGUUGUAAAGCACUUUUGUCCGGGAAGAAAUCGCACCUGAUAAUACCGGGUGUGGAUGACGGUACCGGAAGAAUAAGGACCGGCUAACUACGUGCCAGCAGCCGCAGUAAUACGUAGGGUCCAAGCGUUAAUCGGAAUUACUGGGCGUAAAGCGUGCGCAGGCGGUUGUGCAAGACCGAUGUGAAAUCCCCGGGCUUAACCUGGGAAUUGCAUUGGUGACUGCACGGCUAGAGUGUGUCAGAGGGGGGUAGAAUUCCACGUGUAGCAGUGAAAUGCGUAGAGAUGUGGAGGAAUACCGAUGGCGAAGGCAGCCCCCUGGGAUAACACUGACGCUCAUGCACGAAAGCGUGGGGAGCAAACAGG
Molecule: ribosomal RNA, 429 nt
Filed under: Bacillota bacterium
Lineage: Bacteria; Bacillati; Bacillota
Description: Firmicutes bacterium partial 16S ribosomal RNA
Rfam family: Bacterial small subunit ribosomal RNA
Source: RNAcentral